GGGUCGUUAGCUCAGUUGGUAGAGCAGUUGGCUUUUAACCAAUUGGUCGAUGGUUCGAAUCCAUCACGACCCACCA
Molecule: transfer RNA, 76 nt
Filed under: Marinobacter sp.
Lineage: Bacteria; Pseudomonadati; Pseudomonadota; Gammaproteobacteria; Pseudomonadales; Marinobacteraceae
Also listed under: 64 other names
Description: tRNA-Lys
Rfam family: tRNA
About the family: Transfer RNA (tRNA) molecules are approximately 80 nucleotides in length.
Source: RNAcentral